CAGGGAAUAUUGCACAAUGGGCGAAAGCCUGAUGCAGCGACACCGCGUGCGGGAUGAAGGCUUUCGGGUUGUAAACCGCUUUCAGGAGGGACGAAAAUGACGGUACCUCCAGAAGAAGGCCCGGCCAACUAUGUGCCAGCAGCCGCGGUAAUACAUAGGGGCCAAACGUUGUCCGGAUUUAUUGGGCGUAAAGGGCUCGUAGGCGGCUUGGAAAGUCAACCGUGAAAACCCGGGGCUCAACCCCGGGACGCCGGUCGAAACUUCCAUAGCUAGGGUCCGGUAGAGGUGAGUGGAAUUCUCAGUGUAGCGGUGAAAUGCGCAGAUAUUGAGAGGAACACCAGUAGCGAAGGCGGCUCACUGGGCCGGUACCGACGCUGAGGAGCGAAAGCGUGGGGAGCAAACAGGAUUAGAUACCCCCGUAGUCC
This 425-nucleotide ribosomal RNA is filed under the name uncultured prokaryote. RNAcentral describes it as "bacterial SSU rRNA". It matches the Rfam family "Bacterial small subunit ribosomal RNA", at positions 355 to 796 of the family's 1533-position model. The record is from RNAcentral.